RNAcentral lists this ribosomal RNA (520 nucleotides) under uncultured bacterium. RNAcentral's name for it is "partial 16S ribosomal RNA". It matches the Rfam family "Bacterial small subunit ribosomal RNA", at positions 355 to 891 of the family's 1533-position model. The record is from RNAcentral.
UGGGGAAUAUUGCACAAUGGGCGAAAGCCUGAUGCAGCAACGCCGCGUGAGUGAUGAAGGUCUUCGGAUUGUAAAGCUCUGUCUUUUGGGACGAUAAUGACGGUACCAAAGGAGGAAGCCACGGCUAACUACGUGCCAGCAGCCGCGGUAAUACGUAGGUGGCGAGCGUUGUCCGGAUUUACUGGGCGUAAAGGGUGCGUAGGCGGAUGUUUAAGUGAGAUGUGAAAUACCCGGGCUUAACUUGGGUGCUGCAUUUCAAACUGGAUAUCUAGAAUGCAGGAGAGGAGAAUGGAAUUCCUAGUGUAGCGGUGAAAUGCGUAGAGAUUAGGAAGAACACCAGUGGCGAAGGCGAUUCUCUGGACUGUAACUGACGCUGAGGCACGAAAGCGUGGGUAGCAAACAGGAUUAGAUACCCUGGUAGUCCACGCCGUAAACGAUGAGUACUAGGUGUAGGAGGUAUCGACCCCUUCUGUGCCGCAGUAAACACAUUAAGUACUCCGCCUGGGAAGUACGAUCGCAA